Molecule: small RNA, 1454 nt
Filed under: Rattus norvegicus (Norway rat)
Lineage: Eukaryota; Metazoa; Chordata; Mammalia; Rodentia; Muridae
Description: uncharacterized LOC102552528
Source: RNAcentral
CAUAAGCCAUAGAUUUGUAAGAGAAAAAUCACAGUUCCAGGUGCAGAUACUACUCCAUGGCUUAUUUGCAGAGAAGUCCUAAAUAUUCCCGCCACACUGCACAGCAUCUUCAUUGCUCUUCGUUACCCAGCAGAGGUUCAAGGUCAGUCUCUGUGGCUGAAGACACCGCAUCCUUGGUUGUAGCACAUGGAGAGAUCAAGUUUGAACUAAGCUAGAUAUUUUCUGCAGGUUUGCUUUCAUAGUGCUGCCAUGUGCUCGGCAGUCUACCGGGAGUUAAAAGACACGGUCAAUGUUACCCUACUGUGAACCCUACACGCUAGAAUACCAAUGUGCAAUGCAAAAUAUCCCUGACGCUGGAAUACUGGCAUGUCUGUUUAGACAGCAACAAACUGCCUUCUGAUUGGAUUUGGGACCCAGUCCAUGGGAGGAGAUACAAACCUGAAUCUGUAAACCUGGUUACAACCAAUGGCCUGAGAAAUCCUUAGCCCAGGGUGUGUAUGUGUAGCGGGGAGGAUUACGAUUGUUCUGAUAAAUGGAAGUGCUGCCAAACUGCCUUCUAAAUAUUUAUGUUUAUACAUAUAGACUAGUGACACUCUGAGCCUAGGACAGAGAGCCUCCUUUAUGCGCUUGGCAACAGGAAAUCCAUACAGAGACUCAUUUCUGGUAAAAGCCUGGAGAAAAAGUGAGUGUUGAGACCCGAGACCCAAGUCAGAUUUGCAAGACUUAGGAGACAUCAUGAAAGAAUAGAAGAGGCAGGAGAGAGAAAGAAUUCUGUGAAAUGUUUCCAUGGAUACAGAAUUGGCUGUUGCCAUCAUGAGCAUGGAAGUCAUGGAUACUUGAAUAAGAUGUGUGCUAGCCUGGAACCUUCAGAAUUCCAUCAUAGAUAGGACAAAAUCACAGAAGUGAUCUCCUACCUUUUAGAAAAAUAGCAUUAGCAGUAAAUGGCUGCCGAGGGGAGUUAACGCCAUUCUCUUCAAAGCUGUAACCACUGCUGCAACCUACCAUCCCCUCGACAGAAUCACUGUGAAGCCAGCAAGAAUUGUCAGAACCAGUUUCUUUCGUUAGAGACGUGGAAAGUAGUCCUUGGUUUAUAGCAAGCCUGCAAGUGCUGAAUCAAGAAUAAGGCAGGCCAGGCUUGGAAGUGCUUGCCUGAAAUCCCAUCGCUCAACAAGGAUCCAUCUGUCCUCCCUCCACCUGGCUGAUCCUGUGACUGUACUGGAUGCUCACUCUCUGGUCAUUAAUGAGUACUGAGAAGUGACAACUUGUCCUUGUCAAGCUUUGCACCCCACAACAAGCAAUGCUGUAGCAAAUGGAACAUAACUUCCAGUAGUGGUAAGAUCAUUAAAGAACAGAAAAGAAUAAAAUAUACCAUUAAACUAUAGCCCGACAGUUUCUCCAAUAUGUAUAGCCAAAUGCAUCCAGGUUUCUGAGACAAGAGCAUGUAUGAAAUAAAA